GCGGGAAACUGGGACACACAUGAUAAAGAUGCACCAUUUACAAACUUAAAGUGUCAAACAGUAGGGAUAGGAAGCCAAGAACUACGAGACAUCUGAGGAAACCUGACUGUUGCAAAAGGAACACAGAUGAGCACUUUGGAAGCUAAGCCCAGAGGAAAGGAUCUAUGCUGCUGGAGCAAGUACUCACAAAAUUCUAGAGGGAAGAUACUGCGCACAUGGAACAGUGAUCCUGAGGACUCCUCGCUGCAUCUGUAACCUUGAGUAAACUACCAAAGGUUCAAAGGCUGUGGCAAUUAAGAAAUUGCCUGGCCUGUCAGGAUGGCUCAGCAGGGAAAAGUGCUUAUCUCUGAGAAUGAAUGGUGCCUUGAGUUCUGCUCCAGAGCCCAAAACGAAGGAGAAAUCAGUUUCCAGAAGUUGUUCCUGACCGCCACAUAAAUGCGCCUCACCCUCACACAUCAUA
Long non-coding RNA from Mus caroli (Ryukyu mouse), 460 nucleotides. RefSeq lists it as uncharacterized. The record is from RefSeq and is a predicted model, not a curated record. Lineage: Eukaryota; Metazoa; Chordata; Mammalia; Rodentia; Muridae.